CCAUGAGGCCGACACGCCCCGUUUGCGCCUCCGGCGCGUCAGUACUUCUUGAACUUUGACCGCUUCUGAGCGGCGGCGCCGGGAGAUAGUACGCAUGCGUCGUUUCUUUGCAUGGCUAGCGUCCUUAUCCUAGUGGCGGCGGGAGCUGCGGUGGCCGCGCUGCUGGCACUGCGGCUGUGGGUUGUGCUCCAUUCUCGGGUCCUCGGGCCGCGUCAGUCUUGCAGUCUCUUGGUGGUGGCUGGGUCCGGUGGGCACACCACUGAGAUCCUGAGGCUGCUUGAGAACCUGUCUAAUGCUUACUCUCCUAGACAUUAUAUCAUUGCCGAUACUGAUGAAAUGAGUGCCCAUAAAAUACAUUCUUUUGAACAAAAUCGAGCUGAUACCACUAUCAUGCUUUCCGAAUACUACAUUCACCGCAUUCCCAGAAGCCGGGAGGUUCAGCAGUCCUGGCUCUCCACGGUGCUCACCACCCUGUACUCCAUGUGGCUGUCCUUUCCCCUGACUCACAAAGUGAAGCCAGAUUUGGUCUCUAGCCUGCUGGCCCACCCUACAGAUUUUGGACUUGCCAUCUACCAAAUUCAUAUGGAACACACAUCCUUUCCAAUCACUCUGCAUUGCUGGGAACUAGUCACAUGACUCCAUUGAGACCGCUGGUGGAACUGGGAAGUGUGGUCCUUGACUGGGAAGCUACUUACCAACAAUUGUCCACUGUAGAAAAAGGAAACAGGACUUUGGUUGGUUAAAAAGGGAAAAAAAGAGAAGGAGUAGAGGAAGCCAAGAAGCUACCUGGGAUGAUAGUGUAAGGAUGGCCCGAGGACCUAAUCAGUCAUUCCCCAGGUGCAAACCACCCUCGCAAAGGCAGCGCGUCCGUGGGGAGAUGGUGCGCCAUUACAUGCUGGGGCACCGGAAGCUAGACUUCCAGGCCACCUGGUGCUGAACAUGAACACUGGUACUUCUGAUGUUCUUGGCCCUUUGAAUAUGCUGCCCAGUCGAAUUUUUAAUCGGACUGAACAAAGCAAAGGUCCAUAUUUGUAAGCAGUAGUUUUAGGAAAAAACGUUUCAUUGACAAUCAGGACUGACGAUUUCCUGAAGUAAGGGGAGUUGGGAGCAAGACCACCCAAAGGCAGACAGAACAUUUAAUAACACUUUUCUUGUUUCAUUGUCUCCUCUGGGUACCGACCUUUCUUAUCUGUCCCAUCAACUGUAACAGACUUUGCCCAACUAUAAUGGAUUUGUUAAAUAUUGACUUGAUAGAGUAGCAAAGAUCCAGGACUCAUUUAUUCCAGUACAUUCCAUUCCUAAAGUUAGGAUUUGGUGUGGGGGUUACCCUCUGUUCCUGCACAAUUUGCACAGAGGGCUUCAGCCCCUCUAAGGGGCUUUUUCCUACUAAUGACUUCCAAAGACAAGAUCUGUCCGCUUGGCCUGUGUAUCAUUAUCACCUGUGAGACAGUGGUGAGUCCAAAGUAUCAGGAACCCCUGAACCAACAGAAAAACACUACCUCAAAUAUUCAGUUUCCUAAAGAAAAGAACUAAAAUGAUGAUCACAAAAGUCAAGAUAGUGUUUCCUCCCAGGAAGAGGGAGAGGCUUGGUUAGGGAGAGACAGAGAGAAGGUUUCCAGUACUGUUCUGUGUCCUACCUGGGUAAUGGGGUUAUGUGGCAUUUGCUUCAUGAUAAAUUUAUUUUAAGUAUCCAUGUAAUGAUUCCACUCUUUUGUGGAUGAAGGGUUUAUUUCACAAUAAGAAAAAUAAUUAAGGGU
Molecule: RNA transcript, 1757 nt
Organism: Mustela erminea (ermine)
Lineage: Eukaryota; Metazoa; Chordata; Mammalia; Carnivora; Mustelidae
Gene: ALG14
Gene name: ALG14 UDP-N-acetylglucosaminyltransferase subunit
Exons: 7
Source: RefSeq, a predicted model, not a curated record